GGGAUUGCCUCAGUAACGGCGAGUGAAGCGGCAACAGCUCAAAUUUGAAAUCUGGCUCCUUCGGGGUCCGAAUUGUAAUUUGUAGAGAGUGCUUCGGGCGAGACCUCGGUCUAAGUCCAUUGGAACAUGGUGUCAUAGAGGGUGAGAAUCCCGUAUGCGACCGUGGCUCGAGCCCAUGUGAAGCCUCUUCGACGAGUCGAGUUGUUUGGGAAUGCAGCUCAAAAUGGGUGGUAAAUUUCAUCUAAAGCUAAAUACUGGCUGGAGACCGAUAGCGCACAAGUAGAGUGAUCGAAAGAUGAAAAGCACUUUGGAAAGAGAGUCAAACAGUACGUGAAAUUGUUGAAAGGGAAGCGCUUGCAACCAGACCUGCCCGUAGGCGAUCAGCCGCUGUUCUCAGCGGUGUACUCGCUCUGCGAUCAGGCCAGCAUCGGUUUCGGCGGUCGGAUAAAGGCCUUGGGAAUGUAGCUUCCCUUCGGGGGAGUCUUAUAGCCCUCGGUGUAAUGCGGCCAGCUGGGACCGAGGACCGCGCUUCGGCUAGGAUGCUGGCGUAAUGGUUGUAAGCGACCCGUCUUGAAACACGGACCAAGGAGUCUAACAUCUAUGCGAGUGUUUGGGUGUCAAACCCAUACGCGGAAUGAAAGUGAACGGAGGUGAGAACCCUUAAGGGCGCAUCAUCGACCGAUCCAGAUGUCUUCGGAUGGAUUUGAGUAUGAGCAUAGCUGUUGGGACCCGAAAGAUGGUGAACUAUGCCUGAAUAGGGUGAAGCCAGAGGAAACUCUGGUGGAGGCUCGCAGCGGUUCUGACGUGCAAAUCGAUCGUCAAAUUUGGGUAUAGGGGCGAAAGACUAAUCG
RNAcentral lists this ribosomal RNA (851 nucleotides) under Xanthoparmelia stenophylla. RNAcentral's name for it is "eukaryotic LSU rRNA". It matches the Rfam family "Eukaryotic large subunit ribosomal RNA", at positions 71 to 937 of the family's 3401-position model. The record is from RNAcentral. Lineage: Eukaryota; Fungi; Ascomycota; Lecanoromycetes; Lecanorales; Parmeliaceae.